CCUACGGGAGGCAGCAGUGGGGAAUCUUGCGCAAUGGGCGAAAGCCUGACGCAGCAACGCCGCGUGCGGGAAGAAGGCUUUCGGGCUGUAAACCGCCUUCAGCAGGAACGAAAAUGACGGUACCUGCAGAAGAAGGAGCGGCCAACUAUGUGCCAGCAGCCGCGGUGAUACAUAGGCUUCAAGCGUUGUCCGGAUUUAUUGGGCGUAAAGAGUUCGUAGGCGGUCGAGUAAGUCGGGUGUGAAAAUUCUGGGCUCAACCCAGAGACGCCACCCGAUACUGCUUGACUUGAGUUCGAUAGGGGAGUGGGGAAUUCCUAGUGUAGCGGUGAAAUGCGCAGAUAUUAGGAGGAACACCGGUGGCGAAGGCGCCACUCUGGAUCGAUACUGACGCUGAGGAACGAAAGCAUGGGUAGCAAACAGGAUUAGAUACCCUGGUAGUCCAUGCCGUAAACGGUGGGCACUAGGUGUGGGUUUCUAUUAACGAAAUCCGCGCCGUCGCUAACGCAUUAAGUGCCCCGCCUGGGGAGUACGGUCGCAAGACUAAAACUCAAAGGAAUUGACGGCUGAGACGNGCGAGACGACACGAGGAGAGG
Molecule: ribosomal RNA, 593 nt
Filed under: uncultured bacterium
Lineage: Bacteria
Description: bacterial SSU rRNA
Rfam family: Bacterial small subunit ribosomal RNA
Source: RNAcentral